GCCAGGGUAGCGGUCAGGGCAGUGGCCAGGGUAGCGGCCAGGGCCAGGGAAGUGGUCAGGGAAGUGGCCAGGGAAGCGGCCAGGGAAGCGGUCAGGGAAGUGGUCAGGGCCAGGGCAGCGGUCAGGGAAGCGGCCAGGGUCAGGGUAGCGGCCAUGGAAGUGGUCAAGGGAAUGGUGAGGGAUGUGGUCAUUGACAUGGUCAUGGGAAUUUUGCAUAACAUUUACUGGAGAUCUUUUCAAAUCGGUGCCUUAUUCAUAUGGCACGUUUUCCCUGUUUGCUCAAAACAGUUUAGAAAGAUUUUCUGUCUCUCUCCUCCCCCUCAAAUAAAAAGAAUUGCUUGAA
This is a long non-coding RNA of Sinocyclocheilus rhinocerous, 343 nucleotides long. RefSeq lists it as uncharacterized. The record is from RefSeq and is a predicted model, not a curated record. NCBI's taxonomy places the organism in Eukaryota, Metazoa, Chordata, Actinopteri, Cypriniformes, Cyprinidae. The transcript has 2 exons.